RNAcentral lists this unclassified non-coding RNA (328 nucleotides) under soil metagenome. RNAcentral's name for it is "partial contains 5.8S ribosomal RNA, internal transcribed spacer 2, and large subunit ribosomal RNA". The stretch from base 1 to 120 matches the Rfam family "5.8S ribosomal RNA", at positions 35 to 154 of the family's 154-position model. The record is from RNAcentral.
GAUGAAGAACGCAGCGAAAUGCGAUAAGUAAUGCGAAUUGUAGAAUUCAGUGAGUCAUCGAAUCUUUGAACGCACAUUGCGCCCCUUGGUAUUCCGAGGGGCAUGCCUGUUCGAGCGUCAUUAUAACCCUCAAGCUCAGCUUGGUGUUGGGGCCUGCUGCACUGGCAGCCCUUAAAAUCAGUGGCGGCGCCAUCUGGCUCUAAGCGUAGUAAUUCUUCUCGCUAUGGAGUCCUGGUGGAUGCUUGCCAUCAACCCCCAAUUUUUCUAUGGUUGACCUCGGAUCAGGUAGGGAUACCCGCUGAACUUAAGCAUAUCAAUAAGCGGAGGA